UAAUGACAACCGUUUUACGAUUUAUUUGUUAUAAAUUAAGAUCUGACAAGUUAACGGGUAGAUGUUUUGUCUCUUUUACAAAAUUUCUAAGAGGUCUAUUUUUUUAGUUGAUACAUCAUAUAUGUUUUAAUAUGUAGUUAUAGAUAUUUACUAAAUAACCCUAGAGUUCCCGACACAUGUAUUUUUUUUUCUAUUGGCUCUGAAUAACUCUAGAGUUCCUGACACAUGUUUUUUUUUCUGUUGGCUCUGUCAUUUAAAAUUUCUAACUCCAUCUUGUUCUAUUACUCCUUCCUCUUUGAAGGAUGUUGGUCGAAUUUUGCAGAGACCAAAUAGUGCCACGAUGUCUUCGCCAUGAUCACUCUCAUCGUCCGAGUUUACAGGACAAGCACACUACCUUGGCCAUGCUUUGACAAAAAAAAAGUUGAGGGAAAACAGUGGAUCAAUGAUCCACUGCAAAUAUAUUAUAUAUG
RNAcentral lists this long non-coding RNA (470 nucleotides) under Brachypodium distachyon (stiff brome). Its description in RNAcentral is "long non-coding RNA (BDIS_LNC002218)". The record is from RNAcentral. Lineage: Eukaryota; Viridiplantae; Streptophyta; Magnoliopsida; Poales; Poaceae.